This 478-nucleotide ribosomal RNA is filed under the name uncultured bacterium. RNAcentral's name for it is "partial 16S ribosomal RNA". It matches the Rfam family "Bacterial small subunit ribosomal RNA", at positions 29 to 507 of the family's 1533-position model. The record is from RNAcentral.
AUGAACGCUGGCGGCGUGCUUAACACAUGCAAGUCGAACGAAGCACUUUAACCUGAUUCUUCGGAUGAAGGUUUUUGUGACUGAGUGGCGGACGGGUGAGUAACGCGUGGGUAACCUGCCUCAUACAGGGGGAUAACAGUUAGAAAUGACUGCUAAUACCGCAUAAGACCACAGAGCCGCAUGGCUCGGUGGGAAAAACUCCGGUGGUAUGAGAUGGACCCGCGUCUGAUUAGGUAGUUGGUGGGGUAACGGCCUACCAAGCCAACGAUCAGUAGCCGACCUGGGAGGGUGACCGGCCACAUUGGGACUGAGACACGGCCCAAACUCCUACGGGAGGCAGCAGUGGGGAAUAUUGCACAAUGGGGGAAACCCUGAUGCAGCGACGCCGCGUGAGCGAAGAAGUAUUUCGGUAUGUAAAGCUCUAUCAGCAGGGAAGAAAAUGACGGUACCUGACUAAGAAGCACCGGCUAAAUACGUG